GGGAACGUGUAAUACGGGAGUCAGACUGCGAGGGCUAAGCUUCGUGGUCGAAAGGGGAAGAGCCCCAGACCGUCAACUAAGGCCCCUAAAUCUAUGCUAAGUGGUAAAGGAAGUCGGGAGGCUCAGACAGCCAGGAGGUUGGCUUAGAAGCAGCCAUCCUUUAAAGAAAGCGUAAUAGCUCACUGGUCGAGCACCCCGGUGCCGACAAUCCAACGGGGCUUAAGCAUAGUGCCGAAGUUACGGAUGCAUCAUCUUUGGAUGAUGCGUGGUAGGAGAGCAUUCUCACAGCAGUGAAGGUCGACCGUGAGGACGGCUGGAGCGGUGAGAAGAGACUCUGCCAGCAUAAGUAGCGAUAAAACCAGGUGAGAACCCCUGGUCGCCGUAAAGUCUAAGGUUUCCUGAGAAAGGUUAAUCCGCUCAGGGUUAGUCAGUGCCUAAGGCGAGGCCGACGAGGCGUAGCGUGAGUGGACACGUAACGGUUAAUACGUUCCGUGACUAACCAAAACUCGAUAC
Molecule: ribosomal RNA, 513 nt
Filed under: uncultured bacterium
Lineage: Bacteria
Description: bacterial LSU rRNA
Rfam family: Bacterial large subunit ribosomal RNA
Source: RNAcentral